CGGCGCCAAUGUGAUGGNUAUCUGCAAAAUUNCCCCCUNAANAACCCGCGGUAAUACGGAGGGGUGCAAGCGUUAAUCGGAAUUACUGGGCGUAAAGCGCACGCAGGCGGUCUGUCAAGUCGGAUGUGAAAUCCCCGGGCUCAACCUGGGAACUGCAUUCGAAACUGGCAGGCUAGAGUCUUGUAGAGGGGGGUAGAAUUCCAGGUGUAGCGGUGAAAUGCGUAGAGAUCUGGAGGAAUACCGGUGGCGAAGGCGGCCCCCUGGACAAAGACUGACGCUCAGGUGCGAAAGCGUGGGGAGCAAACAGGAUUAGAUACCCUGGUAGUCCACGCCGUAAACGAUGUCGACUUGGAGGUUGUGCCCUUGAGGCGUGGCUUCCGGAGCUAACGCGUUAAGUCGACCGCCUGGGGAGUACGGCCGCAAGGUUAAAACUCAAAGGAAUUGACGGAAGGGC
This 454-nucleotide ribosomal RNA is filed under the name uncultured bacterium. RNAcentral describes it as "bacterial SSU rRNA". It matches the Rfam family "Bacterial small subunit ribosomal RNA", at positions 503 to 922 of the family's 1533-position model. The record is from RNAcentral.